This 219-nucleotide unclassified non-coding RNA is filed under the name Glomeraceae sp. RNAcentral describes it as "partial contains 5.8S ribosomal RNA and internal transcribed spacer 2". The stretch from base 1 to 71 matches the Rfam family "5.8S ribosomal RNA", at positions 84 to 154 of the family's 154-position model. The record is from RNAcentral. Lineage: Eukaryota; Fungi; Glomeromycota; Glomeromycetes; Glomerales; Glomeraceae.
GUGAAUCAUCGAAUCUUUGAACGCAAAUUGCACUCUCUGGUAUUCCGGAGAGUAUGCCUGUUUGAGGGUCAGUUUAAAUAAAAACGGUGUGGUUGCUGCCUUUUGUGGGGACGCCCCGGAUGUGGGUCGUCUUGCCUUUGGGUAAGUGGCCUUAAAAUUUGCAUUAUUUUUUCGGACGUAUUUAAAUUAUUGUAAGUACGGUUUCGGUAUCGAAUACCU